Molecule: long non-coding RNA, 702 nt
Filed under: Felis catus (domestic cat)
Lineage: Eukaryota; Metazoa; Chordata; Mammalia; Carnivora; Felidae
Description: lncRNA (ENSFCAG00000040560.2)
Source: RNAcentral
GAUGCUCUGCUGUGCCUAUCUUAGUAUAACAAAACUUAUGCCCUCCCUUCAUUCUUGGGGAGAAGUACAGGCACAGGACCUCCUGGAGGACAUCUUCCAAGAGAGGAAAAGACCAGGUUCAUUCCAGUCCUGCACAAGACAAGCCCAUUCUGUAGCCAAAGCCCCAGCAUGCUGGCCCCCGGUCCCUUCCCAGUUCACCAUCUCAACAAUCAAGGCUGCCCUGCCUCACUCGCCCCUGCCCUGGGCUGGCCUCCAGAGCAGCGAAGCUGACCCAGGAAGCAACAGGCUGCCCGACAGUCGGAGACCGUGGAAAGAAGAGCGCGUGGAAGGAAGAGUGGCAAGAAAUUACGGAGAGAUCCUUUUAAACUGGACAGAGGAAAGAUGUUCUCGGAAUCAGAGAUGCCCAAAUAUAGAAAGUGAGCUUCUCAUUACUGCACACAGAUGUUGAAUCAUCAUUAGCCUGGGAGGUGAUGGAGAGGAUUACUACAUUUGAGUAAAAAUAAGGAAAUUAAGUAGAAAUAAUGAAAGUCAUUUUACGUUUAUAGUACUUGACAUUUAUUAAGUUGUUUUGAAGGGGCCCCUGGGUGGCUCAGUCAAAAGAGCGUGCAAUGCUUGAUCUUGGGGGCGUGAGUUUGAGCCCCAGGUUGGGUGUGGAGCCUACUAAAAAAAAAAUAAUAAAAUUUAAAAAAUAAAAUUAAAACA